UCCCUGGUGGCUCAGACCAUAGAGCCUCUGCCUGCAAUGCGGGAGACCCUGGUUCAAUUCCAGGGUCGGGAA
This 72-nucleotide transfer RNA is filed under the name Ovis aries (sheep). It matches the Rfam family "tRNA". From Rfam's summary of the family: Transfer RNA (tRNA) molecules are approximately 80 nucleotides in length. Their secondary structure includes four short double-helical elements and three loops (D, anti-codon, and T loops). The record is from Rfam by way of RNAcentral. Lineage: Eukaryota; Metazoa; Chordata; Mammalia; Artiodactyla; Bovidae.